CACGCACGCCGACUAUGUCCUGGAGAUGAACAUGGCCAAGACCAGCCAGACCGUGGCCACCUUCCUAGAUGAGCUGGCGCAGAAGCUGAAGCCCCUGGGGGAGCAGGAGCGUGCGGUGAUUCUGGAGCUGAAGCGUGCGGAGUGCGAGCGCCGGGGCCUGCCCUUCGAUGGCCGCAUCCAUGCCUGGGACAUGCGCUACUACAUGAACCAGGUGGAGGAGACGCGCUACCGCGUGGACCAGAACCUGCUCAAGGAGUACUUCCCCGUGCAGGUGGUCACGCACGGGCUGCUGGGCAUCUACCAGGAGCUCCUGGGGCUGGCCUUCCACCACGAGGAGGGCGCCAGUGCCUGGCAUGAGGACGUGCGGCUCUACACCGCGAGGGACGCGGCCUCGGGGGAGGGAAGGAAAGUACGGGCACGCGGCCUGCUUUGGCCUGCAGCCCGGCUGCCUGCGGCAGGAUGGGAGCCGCCAGAUCGCCAUCGCGGCCAUGGUGGCCAACUUCACCAAGCCCACAGCCGACGCGCCCUCGCUGCUGCAGCAUGACGAGGUAGAGACCUACUUCCAUGAGUUUGGCCACGUGAUGCACCAGCUCUGCUCCCAGGCGGAGUUCGCCAUGUUCAGCGGGACCCACGUGGAGCGGGACUUUGUGGAGGCGCCCUCGCAGAUGCUGGAGAACUGGGUGUGGGAGCAGGAGCCGCUGCUGCGGAUGUCGCGGCACUACCGCACAGGCAGCGCCGUGCCCCGGGAGCUCCUGGAGAAGCUCAUUGAGUCCCGGCAGGCCAAUACAG
RNAcentral lists this small RNA (789 nucleotides) under Pan troglodytes (chimpanzee). RNAcentral's name for it is "processed transcript". Lineage: Eukaryota; Metazoa; Chordata; Mammalia; Primates; Hominidae. The record is from RNAcentral.